UUUUACAUUGUUUUGACAGAAUUUAAUGGGAAUUGGAUGAUGGAAAGUGAAGUAGGGAGAAGUUGGACUCAAGAAGAGAUGAAAAAAGGUGCACAAGAAGAAUCGCAGCUACCGCUCAACGCCAAUUCUAAUGCUGAGCGCGAGUUUAUUGAAUUUAGCCAUUGUCUCACGCUUAAGCGCCAACGUUGAGGGGAAAAUGAAGAAUUGUGCCUACCGCUGAGCACCAGAUCCACCACUGAGCGGUGGCCUUCUCAGAGUCAACAUUGUUUAACACCUGGGCGUGAUCGCUGAGCGUCCCAAUUGAGUGUUGAACCUACCGUUGAGUGGUGAGCCCAGCACUGAGCGCUGUACUUAUGGGCCUGGGCCAAAAUUUAUUUAUUUUU
Molecule: long non-coding RNA, 383 nt
Filed under: Vigna radiata
Lineage: Eukaryota; Viridiplantae; Streptophyta; Magnoliopsida; Fabales; Fabaceae
Description: long non-coding RNA (VRAD_LNC003507)
Source: RNAcentral